UACAGGGGGGGCAAGCGUUGUUCGGAAUUACUGGGCGUAAAGGGCUCGUAGGUGGCCAACUAAGUCAGACGUGAAAUCCCUCAGCUUAACUGGGGAACUGCGUCUGAUACUGGAUGGCUUGAGUUUGGGAGAGGGAUGCGGAAUUCCAGGUGUGGCGGUGAAAUGCGUAGAUAUCUGGAGGAACACCGGUGGCGAAGGCGGCAUCCUGGACCACGACUGACGCUGAGGAGCGAAAGCCAGGGGAGCAAACGGG
RNAcentral lists this ribosomal RNA (253 nucleotides) under uncultured bacterium. RNAcentral's name for it is "partial 16S ribosomal RNA". It matches the Rfam family "Bacterial small subunit ribosomal RNA", at positions 524 to 776 of the family's 1533-position model. The record is from RNAcentral.